GCAUGGUGUGAUGAUGAUCUCUG
RNAcentral lists this non-coding RNA (23 nucleotides) under Arabidopsis thaliana (thale cress). Lineage: Eukaryota; Viridiplantae; Streptophyta; Magnoliopsida; Brassicales; Brassicaceae. The record is from RNAcentral.